AACGCUCAGAUACAUAACGUUUUUCAUGUCAGUCAACUGAAACAUCAUCUGGGUCCGAAAGCUAUACCAGCUCCGGGCUUGCCACUCGUGGACGACGCAGGCAGGAUCAAAAUAGCACCAGUGCUGGUUUUACAAACAAGAGCAGUACCAAGACACCCGCAUCUAGUCACAUAGUGGUUAGUGCAGUGGCUCAACAUGUCUCUGGAAGAGGCCACCUGGGAGGAUGCCGAUUUCAUCAAACGCACCUUUCCGGAAUUCUUCAACAACACAAUCCGCUCCUGGUUUCCUUCCAAAGAUCCUCGAGGGCAAGGAUCGUCUUCAGAGGGAGGCAAUUGUCAGGACUCUACUUCUCUGCAAUGCCUAACUGAAGAAGGAAAUAGAAACUCUGAAGAAAUCAACACCGCGCUCGAACCGUUAUGCACUUGGGAAAUGGACGACCCAGAUGAAGCGUUCUGGCGAUCAACGGCUACCCUGCUCUCCUGUUCACAGUCACGCCGUUGCCGCCACCCACUGGACAGCUACAGUAACGGAACGGCACGCGACAACGACUCUGCCUGCUCCGCCAGCUAUUAA
This 573-nucleotide ribosomal RNA is filed under the name Triticum aestivum (bread wheat). RNAcentral's name for it is "partial small subunit ribosomal RNA". Lineage: Eukaryota; Viridiplantae; Streptophyta; Magnoliopsida; Poales; Poaceae. The record is from RNAcentral.